Molecule: transfer RNA, 73 nt
Filed under: Ixodes scapularis (black-legged tick)
Lineage: Eukaryota; Metazoa; Arthropoda; Arachnida; Ixodida; Ixodidae
Rfam family: tRNA
About the family: Transfer RNA (tRNA) molecules are approximately 80 nucleotides in length. Their secondary structure includes four short double-helical elements and three loops (D, anti-codon, and T loops).
Source: Rfam by way of RNAcentral
CCUUGGUUAGCUCAGUUGGUAGAGCGCUCCACUUGUAAUGGAGAGGUCCCGGGUUCGAUGCCCGGACCAGGCG